RNAcentral lists this ribosomal RNA (482 nucleotides) under uncultured bacterium. RNAcentral describes it as "partial 16S ribosomal RNA". It matches the Rfam family "Bacterial small subunit ribosomal RNA", at positions 30 to 507 of the family's 1533-position model. The record is from RNAcentral.
AUUGAACGCUGGCGGCAUGCUUUACACAUGCAAGUCGAACGGCAGCGCGGGGCAACCUGGCGGCGAGUGGCGAACGGGUGAGUAAUAUAUCGGAACGUACCCAGAAGUGGGGGGGAACGUAGCGGAAGUUACGCUAAUACCGCAUACGAUCUACGGAGGAAAGAAGGGGACCGCAAGGCCUUAUGCUUUUGGAGCGGCCGAUAUCUGAUUAGCUAGUUGGUGAGGUAAAGGCUCACCAAGGCGACGAUCAGUAGCUGGUCUGAGAGGACGACCAGCCACACUGGAACUGAGACACGGUCCAGACUCCUACGGGAGGCAGCAGUGGGGAAUUUUGGACAAUGGGCGCAAGCCUGAUCCAGCAAUGCCGCGUGAGUGAAGAAGGCCUUCGGGUUGUAAAGCUCUUUUGUCAGGGAAGAAACGGUAGAGGCUAAUAUCCUUUGCUAAUGACGGUACCUGAAGAAUAAGCACCGGCUAACUACGUG